This 64-nucleotide transfer RNA is filed under the name Chamberlainia hainesiana. Its description in RNAcentral is "tRNA-Ser". Lineage: Eukaryota; Metazoa; Mollusca; Bivalvia; Unionida; Unionidae. The record is from RNAcentral.
GGGGGACCUCGGAGAACAUUUGCCUUGAAAUCAAACAGAAAGUGUUCGACUCACUUAUCCCCUA